This 594-nucleotide ribosomal RNA is filed under the name Penicillium biourgeianum. RNAcentral describes it as "eukaryotic LSU rRNA". The stretch from base 194 to 347 matches the Rfam family "5.8S ribosomal RNA". The record is from RNAcentral. Lineage: Eukaryota; Fungi; Ascomycota; Eurotiomycetes; Eurotiales; Aspergillaceae.
AACCUGCGGAAGGAUCAUUACCGAGUGAGGGCCCUCUGGGUCCAACCUCCCACCCGUGUUUAUUUACCUUGUUGCUUCGGCGAGCCUGCCUUUUGGCUGCCGGGGGACGUCAGUCCCCGGGUCCGUGCUCGCCGGAGACACCUUAGAACUCUGUCUGAAGAUUGUAGUCUGAGAUUAAAUAUAAAUUAUUUAAAACUUUCAACAACGGAUCUCUUGGUUCCGGCAUCGAUGAAGAACGCAGCGAAAUGCGAUACGUAAUGUGAAUUGCAGAAUUCAGUGAAUCAUCGAGUCUUUGAACGCACAUUGCGCCCUCUGGUAUUCCGGAGGGCAUGCCUGUCCGAGCGUCAUUGCUGCCCUCAAGCACGGCUUGUGUGUUGGGCCCCGUCCUCCUUCCGGGGGACGGGUCCGAAAGGCAGCGGCGGCACCGCGUCCGGUCCUCAAGCGUAUGGGGCUUUGUCACUCGCUUUGUAGGCCUGGCCGGCGCUUGCCGAUCAACCAAACUUUUUAUCAGGUUGACCUCGGAUCAGGUAGGGAUACCCGCUGAACUUAAGCAUAUCAAUAAGCGGAGGAAAAGAAACCAACAGGGAUUACCUC